This is a long non-coding RNA of Phyllopteryx taeniolatus (common seadragon), 581 nucleotides long. RefSeq lists it as uncharacterized. The record is from RefSeq and is a predicted model, not a curated record. NCBI's taxonomy places the organism in Eukaryota, Metazoa, Chordata, Actinopteri, Syngnathiformes, Syngnathidae. The transcript is spliced from 4 exons.
CCUACUUUGAAAGCAUUCAGUGGAUAUGUUAACACGAUGAGUGAAUAAGAGCUGCUAUAAAAAGGGACUGAUAACACAACAGCAUUGAACAGCACAAAGCGAAACUUCCAAGUGAACAAGGCUACUCGUGUUGAACAGCAAAAUGAAGUUGGUGCUCUUGGGUUUAAGCAUUCUCCUGCUCCUGACAGCUGGCACAUAUGCCUCAUCUCUUAAUGAAGACCGAGAGCUCCGUUACAGGCCUCCCUGGAUUGGCAACCCCCCACCCCAUGGUCUCAUAAAUGAUGACCACAGUAACUUCCUUGGCCAGUCCGCCGGCCAAAGGCAUUCUGCCCGCAGGAGGAUCCAUCCUGACCCUGAGGAUUAGCCACGAGAACCAGUAUACGCCCAGAGCGCCAAAGCGGCAGGAGUGCAUCAAGUCUGAAAUACUCUACCAAAAAAAAUCUGACUACAAAUUCAUGUAAUUUUGUUCGAGCUGACCCCGACCCAUCUAAAAUGAGUCUGCGACCCACUUUUGUGCCCCGAACCACCAGUUGAGAAUCCCUACUUUGCAAAGCAUUGAAAAAAUAAAUGGAAAAAAAACA